This 346-nucleotide ribosomal RNA is filed under the name Streptomyces prasinosporus. RNAcentral's name for it is "bacterial SSU rRNA". It matches the Rfam family "Bacterial small subunit ribosomal RNA", at positions 74 to 423 of the family's 1533-position model. The record is from RNAcentral. Lineage: Bacteria; Bacillati; Actinomycetota; Actinomycetes; Kitasatosporales; Streptomycetaceae.
CCACUUCGGGUGGGGAUUAGUGGCGAACGGGUGAGUAACACGUGGGCAAUCUGCCCUGCACUCUGGGACAAGCCCUGGAAACGGGGUCUAAUACCGGAUAUGAGCUUCCGCCGCAUGGCGGGGGCUGUAAAGCUCCGGCGGUGCAGGAUGAGCCCGCGGCCUAUCAGCUUGUUGGUGAGGUAACGGCUCACCAAGGCGACGACGGGUAGCCGGCCUGAGAGGGCGACCGGCCACACUGGGACUGAGACACGGCCCAGACUCCUACGGGAGGCAGCAGUGGGGAAUAUUGCACAAUGGGCGCAAGCCUGAUGCAGCGACGCCGCGUGAGGGAUGACGGCCUUCGGGU